RNAcentral lists this unclassified non-coding RNA (334 nucleotides) under soil metagenome. RNAcentral's name for it is "partial contains 5.8S ribosomal RNA, internal transcribed spacer 2, and large subunit ribosomal RNA". The stretch from base 1 to 120 matches the Rfam family "5.8S ribosomal RNA", at positions 35 to 154 of the family's 154-position model. The record is from RNAcentral.
GAUGAAGAACGUAGCGAAACGCGAUAGUUAAUGUGAAUUGCAGAAUUCAGUGAAUCAUCGAAUCUUUGAACGCACAUUGCGCCCGCCAGUAUUCUGGCGGGCAUGCCUGUUCGAGCGUCAUUUCAACCAUCAAGCCCCCGGCUUGUGUUGGGGACCUGCGGCUGCCGCAGGCCCUGAAAUGCAGUGGCGGGCUCGCUGUCACUCCGAGCGUAGUAGUUACAUCUCGCUCUGGGCGUGCUGCGGGUUCCGGCCGUUAAAAGCCUUAUUUACCCAAGGUUGACCUCGGAUCAGGUAGGAAGACCCGCUGAACUUAAGCAUAUCAAUAAGCGGAGGA